AGGGCACCACCAGGAGUGGAGCCUGCGGCUUAAUUUGACUCAACACGGGGAAACUUACCCGGCCUGGACACUGGAAGGAUUGACAGAUUGAGAGCUCUUUCUUGAUUCAGUGGGUGGUGGUGCAUGGCCGUUCUUAGUUGGUGGAGCGAUCUGUCUGGUUAAUUCCGAUAACGAACGAGACUCUAGCCUAUUAAAUAGGCUCUCGGCUUUUAAACGCCGGGAGGACUUCUUAGAGGGACAGGUGGCGGUUCAGCCGCACGAAAGAGAGCAAUAACAGGUCUGUGAUGCCCUUUGUUGUCCGGGGCCGCACGCGCGCUACACUGAAGAGAUCAGCGUGCUUUACGUUCCUGCUCCGACCGGAGUGGGGAACCCAGUGAACCUUCUUCGUGAUUGGGAUAGAAGAUUGUAAUUAUUCUUCUUGAACGAGGAAUUCCCAGUAAAUGCGAGUCAUAAGCUCGCGUUGAUUACGUGCCAGUCCUUUGUACACACCGCCCGUCUCUACUACCGAUUGAACAAUUU
RNAcentral lists this ribosomal RNA (519 nucleotides) under uncultured eukaryote. RNAcentral's name for it is "SSU rRNA". It matches the Rfam family "Eukaryotic small subunit ribosomal RNA", at positions 1161 to 1699 of the family's 1831-position model. The record is from RNAcentral.